AGAUUGAACGCUGGCGGCAGGCCUAACACAUGCAAGUCGAGCGGUAGAGAGGUGCUUGCACCUCUUGAGAGCGGCGGACGGGUGAGUAAUGCCUAGGAAUCUGCCUAGUGGUGGGGGAUAACGUUCGGAAACGGACGCUAAUACCGCAUACGUCCUACGGGAGAAAGCGGGGGACCUUCGGGCCUCGCGCCAUUAGAUGAGCCUAGGUCGGAUUAGCUAGUUGGUGAGGUAAUGGCUCACCAAGGCGACGAUCCGUAGCUGGUCUGAGAGGGAUGAUCAGCCACACUGGAACUGAGACACGGUCCAGACUCCUACGGGAGGCAGCAGUGGGGAAUAUUGGACAAUGGGCGCAAGCCUGAUCCAGCCAUACCGCGUGGGUGAAGAAGGCCGUUCGGUUAGUAACGCCCUUUUGUUAGGGAAAGUAAGUCCUGACCGGUUAAUAACCAGUAGGAUGAACGGUACCCAAAGAAUAAGCACGCUAACUCGUGCCAG
This 492-nucleotide ribosomal RNA is filed under the name uncultured soil bacterium. Its description in RNAcentral is "bacterial SSU rRNA". It matches the Rfam family "Bacterial small subunit ribosomal RNA", at positions 26 to 511 of the family's 1533-position model. The record is from RNAcentral.